RNAcentral lists this ribosomal RNA (460 nucleotides) under uncultured bacterium. RNAcentral's name for it is "partial 16S ribosomal RNA". It matches the Rfam family "Bacterial small subunit ribosomal RNA", at positions 338 to 795 of the family's 1533-position model. The record is from RNAcentral.
CCUACGGGGGGCAGCAGUGAGGAAUAUUGGUCAAUGGACGAGAGUCUGAACCAGCCAAGUAGCGUGAAGGAUGACUGCCCUAUGGGUUGUAAACUUCUUUUAUAUGGGAAUAAAACGUUCCACGUGUGGGAUUUUGUAUGUACCAUAUGAAUAAGGAUCGGCUAACUCCGUGCCAGCAGCCGCGGUAAUACGGAGGAUCCGAGCGUUAUCCGGAUUUAUUGGGUUUAAAGGGAGCGUAGGUGGAUUGUUAAGUCAGUUGUGAAAGUUUGCGGCUCAACCGUAAAAUUGCAGUUGAAACUGGCAGUCUUGAGUACAGUAGAGGUGGGCGGAAUUCGUGGUGUAGCGGUGAAAUGCUUAGAUAUCACGAAGAACUCCGAUUGCGAAGGCAGUUCACUGGACUGCAACUGACACUGAGGCUCGAAAGUGUGGGUAUCAAACAGGAUUAGAUACCCCUGUAGCC